This 448-nucleotide ribosomal RNA is filed under the name uncultured bacterium. RNAcentral's name for it is "bacterial SSU rRNA". It matches the Rfam family "Bacterial small subunit ribosomal RNA", at positions 329 to 793 of the family's 1533-position model. The record is from RNAcentral.
GGCCAGACUCCUACGGGAGGCAGCAGUGGGGAAUAUUGCACAAUGGGGGAAACCCUGAUGCAGCGACGCCGCGUGAGCGAUGAAGUAUUUCGGUAUGUAAAGCUCUAUCAGCAGGAACGAGACAAGACGGUACCUGACUAAGAAGCCCCGGCUAACUACGUGCCAGCAGCCGCGGUAAUACGUAGGGGGCAAGCGUUAUCCGGAAUCACUGGGUGUAAAGGGAGCGUAGACGGCUGUGCAAGCCUGAAGUGAAAGGCGGGGGCCCAACCCCCGGACUGCUUUGGGAACUGUACGGCUGGAGUGCAGGAGAGGUAAGUGGAAUUCCUAGUGUAGCGGUGAAAUGCGUAGAUAUUAGGAGGAACACCAGUGGCGAAGGCGGCUUACUGGACUGUAACUGACGUUGAGGCUCGAAAGCGUGGGGAGCAAACAGGAUUAGAUACCCCUGUAC